Molecule: long non-coding RNA, 200 nt
Filed under: Gossypium raimondii (Peruvian cotton)
Lineage: Eukaryota; Viridiplantae; Streptophyta; Magnoliopsida; Malvales; Malvaceae
Description: long non-coding RNA (GRAI_LNC002160)
Source: RNAcentral
AAUUUUUUUGGAAAAAACUUCAUUCGAGUGGGUAAACGUUUUCUGAUUGAUCUAAAAUAUGACAUGCGUAUUUGUGGCACUGUGAUAGAAUAUUAAAAAACAUUUCCCGCAAAAAACUCAGUCCAAAAAGUCAAAAAAAUUAAAAAAUACGAAAUCCAAUAAAAAUUUAAAAAAUAUUCAGCGGGUUGAGUUUAGUGCCC